Molecule: ribosomal RNA, 253 nt
Filed under: uncultured bacterium
Lineage: Bacteria
Description: partial 16S ribosomal RNA
Rfam family: Bacterial small subunit ribosomal RNA
Source: RNAcentral
UACGGAGGGUGCAAGCGUUGUCCGGAUUUAUUGGGUUUAAAGGGUGCGUAGACGGCCCUCUAAGUCAGUGGUGAAAUACUGCAGCUUAACUGUAGCAUUGCCAUUGAUACUGGAGGGCUUGAGUACAGAUGAGGUAGGCGGAAUUUAUGGUGUAGCGGUGAAAUGCAUAGAUACCAUAAAGAACACCUAUUGCGAAGGCAGCUUACUAAGCUGUAACUGACGCUGAGGCACGAAAGCGUGGGGAGCGAACAGG